RNAcentral lists this ribosomal RNA (294 nucleotides) under uncultured bacterium. Its description in RNAcentral is "partial 16S ribosomal RNA". It matches the Rfam family "Bacterial small subunit ribosomal RNA", at positions 773 to 1060 of the family's 1533-position model. The record is from RNAcentral.
GUGGAUUAGAUACCCUAGUAGUCCUGGCCGUAAACGAUGGGCACUGGGUAGGGGGCUCGCCGAUGGGCUCCCUGCCGCAGCGAAAGCGUGAAGUGCCCCGCCUGGGGAGUAUGGUCGCAAGGCUGAAACUCAAAGGAAUUGACGGGGGCUCACACAAGCGGUGGAGUAUGUGGCUUAAUUCGAGGCUACGCGCAAAACCUUAUCCCAGGCUUGACAUGCACGGAUUAGCCGGCGGAAACGUCGGUGAGGCCGCAAGGUACAACGUGCACAGGUGCUGCAUGGCUGUCGCCAGCU